GUAGAAGCAGCAGGCACAUAAAGAAAGAUCUAAUGAAUACUUUGAUCAUUUGGAGAAACCACAUCAAACAUUUGAGGUGACCAAGAGUGUAAACAUUCUGUAACUGAGGUCACAUUAUGGAAUGGUUAAGGGGCUAAUAGGGGCUGAAGACAUUCUGAUGGGAUGGGAGAGGGAAACAAAAGACAUCUUUCCUAAUACCACUGAAAGUGUAGGAAGGGCAACUUGUGUUGCUCAAGAAAACUCUAUAAUCAGGAAUAACAACUGUAAUACACUGUGGUCUCUGGGAAUAUUUACAGGGAGCCGAAUUUUGCAGAAGGACAUUGUGGCUGCCCUUUUGAGUAAUUCAUUGCUGUUACAAACUGGAUAAAUUUCAGCUCCCCAAAUUAUCUACCCAUUUUGCAAAUGGAAGGAAACUAGAAGAAAAAAGGUGUGGAUAAGAGUAACAAAGGGCAGACAUUAAGAGCCUUCAAAAAAAUGAC
Molecule: long non-coding RNA, 479 nt
Filed under: Callithrix jacchus (white-tufted-ear marmoset)
Lineage: Eukaryota; Metazoa; Chordata; Mammalia; Primates; Cebidae
Description: lncRNA (ENSCJAG00000081310.1)
Source: RNAcentral